Molecule: ribosomal RNA, 253 nt
Filed under: uncultured bacterium
Lineage: Bacteria
Description: partial 16S ribosomal RNA
Rfam family: Bacterial small subunit ribosomal RNA
Source: RNAcentral
UACGUAGGGUGCGAGCGUUGCCCGGAUUUAUUGGGCGUAAAGGGCGCGUAGGCGGCUACGCACGUCCGUUGUGAAAUCGCUCGGCUCAACUGGGCGGGGUCAGCGGAUACGGUGUAGCUGGAGCAAGCUAGGGGGCAAUGGAAUUCCCGGUGUAGUGGUGGAAUGCGUAGAUAUCCGGAGGAACACCAGCGGCGAAGGCGGCUUUCUGGUCCGAUACUGACGCUGAGGUGCGAAAGCGUGGGGAGCGAUCCGG